GGGUGUGGGAGGGGGGUGGGGGGUGGGGGUGGGGGGUAUCGGGGAAACUGGGGAAGAUGGGAGAGCUGGAGGAGAGUCGUGGGGUCCGAGGAGCACCUCGGCAUCUGGAGUCUGGCAGGAAUGUUGAAGGACUGAGGGGCUAGCUCAGGCAGAGCAAAGGCAUCGCAAAGGCUGGAAAACAUCGGAGUGAAGCUGAAGGGCCUGAGCUAGGGUUGGAGAGGAAUGGGGAGCCAGACAUUCAUCCCGGUUACUUUUGGUUACAGGACGUGGCGGCUGGUCGGAUAAAGGGGAGCUGCUGGGAAGGGUUCGACCCCAGACCUGGGCAGUGAAGGUAUAGCUGGCAGCAGUGGGCAGGUGAGGACCGCCGUCUGCUGGGCAGGUGAGUCUCCUUCUUCUCUCUUGGCCUCGCUCCACUGACCUUCUAAACGAAGGUUUAGAGAGGGGGCCUGGUGAGAAGAAGCGGCUGGCCUCGCAGCAGAAUGGCACAUAGAAAGGCAGGAUAGUUAGCAAAGGAGACAUCGUCUCGGGGGGAGCCGAGACAGAAGGAGGCUGGGGGACCAUUGGCGACCCCAGGUGGAAAGAGCUCUUAGAGAGAAGAAAGAAGAGGUGCAGGGUUGCCAGUAAAGACUGAGGCCGCUGCCUCCAGGGAGGUGAUAGGAGUCCUUGGAGACAGUGGCAGAGACCAUGGGAUCCAGCAAGAACAGAAGCAUUCUAGGCUGGGGUCAAACAGGGCAAGAUGGGGUCACAAGACACAGAUGGGUCCCCAGCCGCCACAACAUCCCACCCACCGUAAUUCACUUAGAAGAAGGUUCAAGAGUGGCUCUGGCAAAGUCCCAAGUUUGCCAGAGCCUCAAUAACUGGAGAAUGGAAAAGAAGGGCAGUGCAGGGUGUCACCAGAAGGGGAGUGGGGGCUGCAGGUAUCGGACUCCAGAGGGAUUUUACAGCAAGGAGGCUGCAGUGGGUCCAGCCUGCAGACACACCAUUCCCAUGAGGCACUGCGGCCCAGGGACUGGUGCGGAAAGGGCCCACAGUGGACUUGGUACACUGUAUGCCCUAACCGCUCAGUCCCUGGGUCUGGCAUGACAGACAGAACAUUUCCAGGGGAGUCAAGGGCACAGGAUGAAGCCAGACGAGGCGAGGCAGGCGGGGCAGAAUGAAUGAGUUUCUAGGGAGGGAGGUUGGGUGCAGGUAGAGCGAGUAGCUGGGGUGGUGAGCCAGGGAGGCACUGGCCUCCAGAGUCCGUGGCCAAGGAGGGCCUUGCGGGCGGCGACGGAGCAGUGAUCGGUGUCUCGAAGAGCUCGGACUGGAGACUAGGCCAGGUCUCCAGCAGAGGUGGAUGUGCCUGCCAGUCACUGAAGGCGAGGAUGACAGGUGUGGUCAAUGUGACAGAAAGACAUGACAUGGUCCGGUGUGAUGGAGAGGACAGAAGGGCAGUCAUCCAGCCUUCUUGAACACCAUGGGCUGGCGCCUUGUCGUAGAAGCCGUCUGUUCUUUCACUUUUCCCAAAGAGCUAACACUUCUCUGCUGCUCUCUGGAUCCUCCUCCCCCUACCUUGAACCCUCAAGAUGAAAGAAAUGGUGCUACCCAGCUCAUGUCUGGGCCUUUGAAUCCGGGGACUUCUUUAAGUCCGUCUCGUUCUGAAUCAAGAAGAUGCUGCAAUCAGAACCACUACACUACCUGCCUCAGGAAUCUGCUCCAAGGUGAAGCUGAAAGAACAGAUGGUGUCAACAUUUUGAAAGAGCAGACUCAUAGCACCCACCCACCCCUGAGAAUCCAUCUUCAUGGCCAACUCUGCCUGACCCGGGAGACCACCACCCACAUCAUCCUGGAGCCAAGCCUCUACCCCGGGAUGACUUCAUCAUCUCCCUCCUGUCUUUUUCUUCUUCCUCCUUUCCUGUAAUUCUGUUUCUUUCCUUUUGUUCCUUCCUUGCUUGAGAGACUCAAAGCACCCGUGACUCUGUUUCCCCAUUUACCCCCUUUUGAAUUUGCACUAAGUCGAUUGCACUGGUUUGGAGUCCCGGAGAUAGCUUUGAGUCUCUCCGUAUGAAUGUAUACAGCGAGUGUGUAAACCUCUUUGGCAAUGCUGCCCCAGUACCCACCUGUCGUCCAUCUCCGUCUGAGGGCAACUGGGUGUGGCCGUGUGCUUGAGGCCUCGCCUUCCCCUCGCCUAGUCUGGAAGCAGUUCCAUCAUAAAGUGUUCAACAUGCCCUACUUCAUCCUUUGCCCCUCCUCACCAGGGCCUCACCAGAGGUCCUGGGUCCAUCAAUAAAUACAGUUACAGUCAUU
RNAcentral lists this long non-coding RNA (2286 nucleotides) under Mus musculus (house mouse). RNAcentral describes it as "H19, imprinted maternally expressed transcript". The stretch from base 1002 to 1073 matches the Rfam family "mir-675 microRNA precursor family". The record is from RNAcentral. Lineage: Eukaryota; Metazoa; Chordata; Mammalia; Rodentia; Muridae.